Molecule: ribosomal RNA, 284 nt
Filed under: Acinetobacter baumannii
Lineage: Bacteria; Pseudomonadati; Pseudomonadota; Gammaproteobacteria; Moraxellales; Moraxellaceae
Description: partial 23S ribosomal RNA
Rfam family: Bacterial large subunit ribosomal RNA
Source: RNAcentral
UGAAUACAUAGUGUUGCAAGGCGAACGAGGGGAAGUGAAACAUCUCAGUACCCUUAGGAAAAGAAAUCAAUUGAGAUUCCCUCAGUAGCGGCGAGCGAACGGGGAUCAGCCCAUUAAGUUAUGUGUGCCCUUUCGUGUACGGGAAUAUCACCCUCUACGUUCGCACUUCCCAGAGCGUUCCACUAAAACACACAUAAUGAUGACGAGUAGGGCGAGGCACGUGAAACCUUGUCUGAAUAUGGGGGGACCAUCCUCCAAGGCUAAAUACUCCUGACUGACCGAUA